This 359-nucleotide ribosomal RNA is filed under the name Eukaryota sp. RNAcentral describes it as "SSU rRNA". It matches the Rfam family "Eukaryotic small subunit ribosomal RNA", at positions 1325 to 1700 of the family's 1831-position model. The record is from RNAcentral.
GCGUUAACGAACGAGACCUCGACCUGCUAAAUAGUUCGGUGAAGGCGUCAGUCUUCAUACGUGGCUUCUUAGAGGGACUAUCGGUGUUUUAGCCGAAGGAAGUUCGAGGCAAUAACAGGUCUGUGAUGCCCUUAGAUGUUCUGGGCUGCACGCGCGCUACACUGAUGGUUGCAACGAGCUUACAACCUUGACCGAUAGGUCUGGGUAAUCUUUUCAACGACCAUCGUGCUGGGGAUAGAUGAUUGUAAUUAUUCAUCUUCAACGAGGAAUUCCUAGUAAACGCAAGUCAUCAACUUGCAUUGAUUACGUCCCUGCCCUUUGUACACACCGCCCGUCGCUAAUACCGAUUGAAUGGAUAG